This 488-nucleotide ribosomal RNA is filed under the name Middendorffinaia mongolica. RNAcentral's name for it is "partial large subunit ribosomal RNA". It matches the Rfam family "Bacterial large subunit ribosomal RNA", at positions 1816 to 2597 of the family's 2925-position model. Lineage: Eukaryota; Metazoa; Mollusca; Bivalvia; Unionida; Unionidae. The record is from RNAcentral.
UCGUCUUUUGAACUAUUUUCAUAAAAGAUAAUGCCUGCCCAGUGAAAAAUUUUAAACGGCCGCGUUAGCGUGAGCGUGCUAAGGUAGCGUAAUAAUUAGCCUUUUAAUUGAAGGCCAGUGAAUGGCAAGACUAGGAAUAUCUGUACUUUGUGUAUAAAAAAAACUUUUCAUCUAAGUGAAAAGACUUAGAUAAUAAAGGAAGACGAAAAGACCCCGCGGAACUUUACCUUUUUUUUACUUCGGUUUACACACUUAAAAGUAUACAAGGUUUGAUUGGGGCAAUCUUGGAACCAUUAAAGCUUCCAAUUUUUUUAAAAAAGGAUUUAAAAUUUAUUAAGGACAAAAAAGUAGUUACCCCGGGGAUAACAGCGUAAUCCAACUUAAGAGUACUUAUCGAAAGUUGGGUUUGCGACCUCGAUGUUGGCUUAAGGAUAUCCACAUUAGUGCAACCGCUAUGACAGGAUAGUCUGUUCGACUAUUAUACCCUU